UGAGGAAUAUUGGUCAAUGGGCGGGAGCCUGAACCAGCCAAGUCGCGUGAAGGAAGAAGGAUCUAUGGUUCGUAAACUUCUUUUGCAGGGGAAUAAAGUGCAGGACGUGUCCUGUUUUGUAUGUACCCUGAGAAUAAGGAUCGGCUAACUCCGUGCCAGCAGCCGCGGUAAUACGGAGGAUCCGAGCGUUAUCCGGAUUUAUUGGGUUUAAAGGGUGCGUAGGUGGUUUGAUAAGUCAGCGGUGAAAGUUUGCAGCUUAACUGUAAAAAUGCCGUUGAAACUGUCGGACUUGAGUGUAAAUGAGGUAGGCGGAAUGCGUGGUGUAGCGGUGAAAUGCAUAGAUAUCACGUAGAACUCCGAUUGCGAAGGCAGCUUACUAAGCUACAACUGACACUGAAGCACGAAAGCGUGGGGAUCAAACA
RNAcentral lists this ribosomal RNA (422 nucleotides) under uncultured bacterium. RNAcentral's name for it is "bacterial SSU rRNA". It matches the Rfam family "Bacterial small subunit ribosomal RNA", at positions 355 to 774 of the family's 1533-position model. The record is from RNAcentral.